AUACUCAUUUUGGUGGCACAUGUACUUAAAUUUGGAACAAUGUAGAGAAGAUUAGUAUGGCCCAUGAACAAGGAUGGCAUGCAUAAAACAUACAGAACUUGUUAUAUU
Molecule: small nuclear RNA, 108 nt
Organism: Ochotona curzoniae (black-lipped pika)
Lineage: Eukaryota; Metazoa; Chordata; Mammalia; Lagomorpha; Ochotonidae
Source: RefSeq, a predicted model, not a curated record